RNAcentral lists this ribosomal RNA (254 nucleotides) under uncultured bacterium. RNAcentral's name for it is "partial 16S ribosomal RNA". It matches the Rfam family "Bacterial small subunit ribosomal RNA", at positions 524 to 777 of the family's 1533-position model. The record is from RNAcentral.
UACGAAGGGGGCUAGCGUUGCUCGGAAUCACUGGGCGUAAAGCGCACGUAGGCGGCUUUCUAAGUCAGGGGUGAAAUCCUGGAGCUCAACUCCAGAACUGCCUUUGAUACUGGAGAGCUUGAGUCCGGGAGAGGUGAGUGGAACUCCGAGUGUAGAGGUGAAAUUCGUAGAUAUUCGCAAGAACACCAGUGGCGAAGGCGGCUCACUGGCCCGGUACUGACGCUGAGGUGCGAAAGCGUGGGGAGCAAACAGGG